CCCUUAGAUGUUCUGGGCCGCACGCGCGCUACAAUGGCAGACUCAGCGAGUUACCUCUGUCGAAAGGCACAGGGAAUCUUUACAGUAUCUGCCGUGAUGGGGAUAGACCCUUGUAAUUUUUGGUCUUCAACGAGGAAUUCCUAGUAAACACAAGUCAUUAACUUGCAUUGAUUACGUCCCUGCCCUUUGUACACACCGCCCGUCGCACCUACCGAUUGAAUGGUCCGGUGAAGUCCUCGGACCCAGUUGAACCUCGAGUUGAACAGGGAAAGUUGACUAAAUCUUACCAUUUAGAGGAAGGUGAAGUCGUAACA
This 314-nucleotide ribosomal RNA is filed under the name uncultured eukaryote. RNAcentral's name for it is "partial 18S ribosomal RNA". It matches the Rfam family "Eukaryotic small subunit ribosomal RNA", at positions 1470 to 1796 of the family's 1831-position model. The record is from RNAcentral.